CUUGGGACAGGUGGAAGGAUGAGAUUGGACAGAGCACGUGUCAUUGUUUCUCUCUCUCCUUCUCGUCGUCUCCCUCCUCUCCUUCUCUUCGUCUUCUCCUUCUCUACUUCUCUGGACAGAGCAGGUGGAAGAUACAUUAAUGUUAUCCCUGCAAUAAGGAUGCUCGUAGUCGACGUCCCUAGUUUCAGUGAAGCUAACCGAAGAGGAGAAGCGCAGUUCUCGUGCUGAGAGGUUAGAUUAGGGUUACGAAAGGCGGUGGUGGCGCAGUCGUACGCGAGGAUCUUUUUCAGGAUCUCGGUGACAACAAGGGAGAUUUAUCCACGUGAUGUGACGACGGCGGAGUUAAGGGAAGCGGAAAGUGUUUUGAUUAAUCAUAUGACGGGGAAGGAGUAUAGGCUUAAGGCGAUUGGUGAUGCCGGGCCUGUGAUUGAUGCUGGUGGUAUCAUUGUGUAUGCGAGGAAAGCUGGGAUGAUUCCUUCUGCAGCUGCUUGAUUGAUUUCUCCCUGACAGUGAAAACUGGUGUACGAGAGAUGAGCUUGAGUAGAUUGAUGCACGUGAAGUCUUGUUUUGACUCCUUCCUUUUCAGGAAUGUGAAGACCGUUUAAUAUCUUUGUUAAUCGGGUUCUACCUGUUCUUCACAAAAGGCAUGUAAGAGGGAGUGUGGUGGUUGUGGGUUUGUGGUGAGGAAGGAGAGAGAUGAAGAUAUUGCGCUCGUUGUGCCUCCUGUUUUCAGCUUCUGUACAAAGGUACUCGAUGCAAAAGAGCAGAUAGAAGCAAGGGACAUGUACUGGGAAGCUGUGAGUGUUGUUUCUGUUUCAAGUUCUUAUGCUUAUUCUCUAUCUGUUUCAUACUUCAUGUGCGUGUGCUUUGUUGUUCUGUUUUAUGUUUCAUGUUUCAAGUUGUACUGCUUGUUAUGUACUUCAAAUGAUUUUUACUAAGAUACAACAUAAAAGUUUCUACCAAUAA
Raphanus sativus (radish) is the source of this 966-nucleotide long non-coding RNA. RefSeq lists it as uncharacterized. NCBI's taxonomy places the organism in Eukaryota, Viridiplantae, Streptophyta, Magnoliopsida, Brassicales, Brassicaceae. The transcript has 3 exons. The record is from RefSeq and is a predicted model, not a curated record.